AAUAGAUACCCGGGUAGUCCACGCCGUAAACGUUGGAUACUAGGUGUGGCGGUCUACCAACGACUGCCGUGCCGAAGCUAACGCAUUAAGUAUCCCGCCUGGGGAGUACGGCCGCAAGGCUAAAACUCAAAGGAAUUGACGGGUCCCCGCACAAGCGGCGGAGCAUGCGGCUUAAUUCGAUGCAACCCGAAGAACCUUACCUGGGUUUGACAUCAUGGGAAAAGCCGUAGAAAUACGGUGUCCGAAAGGGCCCAUGACAGGUGGUGCAUGGCUGUCGUCAGCUCGUGUCGUGAGAUGUUGGGUUAAGUCCCGCAACGAGCGCAACCCUUGUCCUAUGUUGCCAGCGGUUCGGCCGGGGUACUCAUAGGAGACUGCCGGGGAUAACUCGGAGGAAGGUGAGGACGACGUCAAGUCAUCAUGCCCCUUAUAUCCAGGGCUGCACGCAUGCUACAAUGGCCGGUACAACGGGGAAGCGACCCCGCGAGGGUGAGCGGAUCCCUUAAAGCCGGUCCCAGUUCGGAUUGAAGUCUGCAACUCGACUUCA
This 544-nucleotide ribosomal RNA is filed under the name uncultured bacterium. Its description in RNAcentral is "bacterial SSU rRNA". It matches the Rfam family "Bacterial small subunit ribosomal RNA", at positions 777 to 1320 of the family's 1533-position model. The record is from RNAcentral.